CAGAACAAAGCAAAUCAAUCCAAGUUAUAAGUUAUGCGGUGCACGCUCCUAUUAGUUUUGCUUGUAAUGGUUUUUAAAACUGAUGCCUGUUUUAGAAGCGGCGGGUCAUCAAGCUCAGGGUCCGGAUCGUAUUCCUAUGACGAGGACAUAGAUGGUUUAAGGAGACUUUACAACAGUCCAGUUACGAAAGUCGAAAGUUACUCCAGAUGGUCAAAGACUGGAGAAAAACA
Long non-coding RNA from Mytilus trossulus (common blue mussel), 230 nucleotides. RefSeq lists it as uncharacterized. The record is from RefSeq and is a predicted model, not a curated record. The transcript is spliced from 4 exons. Lineage: Eukaryota; Metazoa; Mollusca; Bivalvia; Mytilida; Mytilidae.